GUUUUAAAUAGUUUAGGUGAGCAAGUUACACCUGUUAACACUACAACAGUUGUUUAGGCAAUGGGUCAACAGCCUUAGUCUGUGACUGCUACAGCCCAGGGAAACACAGACUCAAGACAGAAAUAAACACUUGAGUGAAGACUACAAGGAUGUUUCCUGGUCUCCUUCAGUGUAGAGGAAUUAGCAAGGGUAAAAUGCAAACAGCUAGGGAACAAGCUUUAGAAUAAUUAACAGCAGGUGGAGAAUAGGCCAAUCCAGAGCAGAGGGUUAGAGGCAGUUUGCUAAACAGCAGUUCCAGUUUGACAGAACAAACUUCAACUAUCCUGUUGUGUCUAUGGGUAUUGUAACAACUAUCCUGUUGUGUCUAUGGGUAUUGUAACAACUAUCAUGUUGUGUAUAUGGCUAUUGUAA
Molecule: non-coding RNA, 411 nt
Organism: Chiloscyllium plagiosum (whitespotted bambooshark)
Lineage: Eukaryota; Metazoa; Chordata; Chondrichthyes; Orectolobiformes; Hemiscylliidae
Source: RefSeq, a predicted model, not a curated record